GCCUGGGUGGCUCAGUCAGUUAAGCAUCUGACUUCAGCUCAGGUCAUGAUCUCAUAGCUCAUGGGUUCGAGCCCCGUGUCGGGCU
RNAcentral lists this transfer RNA (85 nucleotides) under Felis catus (domestic cat). It matches the Rfam family "tRNA". Rfam says of the family: Transfer RNA (tRNA) molecules are approximately 80 nucleotides in length. Their secondary structure includes four short double-helical elements and three loops (D, anti-codon, and T loops). Further hydrogen bonds mediate the characteristic L-shaped molecular structure. tRNAs have two regions of fundamental functional importance: the anti-codon, which is responsible for specific mRNA codon recognition, and the 3' end, to which the tRNAs corresponding amino acid is attached (by aminoacyl-tRNA synthetases). tRNAs cope with the degeneracy of the genetic code in two manners: having more than one tRNA (with a specific anti-codon) for a particular amino acid; and 'wobble' base-pairing, i.e. permitting non-standard base-pairing at the 3rd anti-codon position. Lineage: Eukaryota; Metazoa; Chordata; Mammalia; Carnivora; Felidae. The record is from Rfam by way of RNAcentral.